CAGCCGCCACGGUAAAACGAAGGGUGCAAGCGUUAAUCGGAAUUACUGGGCGUAAAGCGUGCGUAGGCGGUGAGUUAAGUCUGCUGUGAAAUCCCCGGGCUCAACCUGGGAAUGGCAGUGGAUACUGGCUCGCUAGAGUGUGUCAGAGGAUGGUGGAAUUCCCGGUGUAGCGGUGAAAUGCGUAGAGAUCGGGAGGAACAUCAGUGGCGAAGGCGGCCAUCUGGGACAACACUGACGCUGAGGCACGAAAGCGUGGGGAGCAAACAGGAUUAGAUACCCGAGUAGUCCCUGUCUCUUAUAC
Molecule: ribosomal RNA, 301 nt
Filed under: uncultured bacterium
Lineage: Bacteria
Description: partial 16S ribosomal RNA
Rfam family: Bacterial small subunit ribosomal RNA
Source: RNAcentral